GACAGAGGUGCCAAGCGUUAGGCGGAAUCACUGGGCUUAAAGCGUGUGUAGGCGGAUCGUUAAGUGUCUUGUGAAAUCCCACGGCUCAACCGUGGAACUGCUCGACAUACUGGCGAUCUUGAGCAACCUAGGGGCGAGCGGAACAAAUGGUGGAGCGGUGAAAUGCGUAGAUAUCGUUUGGAACGCCAAUGGUGAAAACAGACAGCUGGGAGUGUGCUGACGCUGAGACACGAAAGCCAGGGGAGCGAACGGG
This 253-nucleotide ribosomal RNA is filed under the name uncultured bacterium. Its description in RNAcentral is "partial 16S ribosomal RNA". It matches the Rfam family "Bacterial small subunit ribosomal RNA", at positions 524 to 776 of the family's 1533-position model. The record is from RNAcentral.